UUAAAUGCCUACGCGCGGGCGGGCAGGGGAGGUGGCCUUUGCCGCAAUUCAGAGCCGGACGCGCAGUCUGAGCCACGCUGAGGGGCUGCGCCGCGCGCCUGCGUCCGCUCCCGGCCUUGCGCGGCCCCCUGCGCGGUGUCUUUCUAGUGACCAUUUCUCUAAAAGGGAUUGGGUGAGAAAUUUUGAUUAUGACAGAGAAAGUGAGAGAAGCUGACCGGGACCAUUUGCAGCUCCUUCCAGAUGGGACAGCCUCUGCCAUCACUGGUGAGCUGGAAUCUCUGGUGAUCUCUUUGAACCUAACCCACAAUAGCCGUCCGGGACCAGAUGCUCAGGAGACACCUGAGAGCAAUGCUUGGGGGGAAGGGGGUGUGAGUGGCUGCUAGUGUCAGUCCCUCUAAGGAGGGUUUUAUCUAAGACAGUCAGUACCCACCAAUACCAGGUGUCAUGCAUACCCACUCCGUCAUCCACAUAAUCAUCUCUCAACGUUACAGAAAUGUGAUAAAAGCUGGGUUUUUUUUGUUUGUUUGUUUGUUUGUUUUCCCUGCGGAGCCGUCCCCCUCUAUUCUGUUGCUGUGGUAAACAGCCAACUGGAUAAAAUUGAGAGGAGGAAAGGGUAUAUUUCCUGUGACGUUCGAAGUGUUGAUGAGAAGACCCUCUACUCGGAGGCAACAGGUAAGAAGCUGCCACUCUCUGUUUUGUUUUUUUCUGAAGGCUUUUUGGUUUGGGUCUGAUUUGGUUUUAUAAUCCAUACAUGCCCAGAAACUCUUAAUUCCCUGUCAUGCAAAGAACAAAUUAAAGGUAUACUCAUUCAUUGCUGAUAGAGAGCUGUUUGCCCCCAUCUCUCAAAAUUACAGACAUAUGCUCUUUGACCCAUUUCCAGGAUUUUAUCUCAUAGGUAUACAACAUGUAAGGUUGCUCUAGCAUUCCAGUAAUUAUGUUUCUCAUACACCAUUAUCUGGACUAGCAAAAGAUUGGCAAAACAUAGAUACCUAUCAGUGGGAGACUGGUCAAGAGGCCACAGUUCAUCCAUUAACUAGACUGUGUGUGCCACAAGAAAUAUUGUGGUGCCAUAAAUAAGAAUAAGACAAUCUAUAUAUGAUAUGGAGCUAGUUCAUUACUAUAUAUUCAGUGAAAAAACACAAAAUCUAGGACAAUGAAGGUAUUAUGUUAUCAUCAAUGUAGAAACAUAGGUUUUUCCCAUUCUCUUCCUUUUUUGUCUUCCUUUCAGAUCACCCCUUCCUUCCUUCCUAAGUAUGUCUAAAGCCACUAGGUAGAGUCUGCAUGGUAGGCCGGGGUUGAGGAGGAAGCCGCAGGGAUGGGGGCUUGCAACAGCCUCACACUGUAUGGGAGCUUGAGUGGAGUGGGAGUGGCCUAGCACAGGAAGUCCAAGUAGGAGAAAGAGGAGUUUGUGGGAAUGGCAGGGGCGGGGGCGGGGGUGGGGGGUGGUGGUCCUGAACCCACAGGGAGAAGGUAGCAUCUGCCGAGGAUGGCAGCUGUGAUGGGAGCCAGGCAUCUCACACCAGAGGAGUUCCAGGUAAGGAAAAACGGUAAACGAUUGGAGUUGGCGAUACUGGACAUGAAUAUUUUCUUAGUCUUUUGCUCUUGGAAAUAGUGUUACAGUGAGUAACUUUGUGUAUUGUCCAUUUGCACCCAUUUUGGCAAGUUACCCUCCAGUGGUUCAGGAGGAAACAGUUCUUUGUACUAGUCUCACAGUUUUUCUGUAAGCUUGAAGUUAUUCCAAAGUAAAAAGUAAUAAAUGGAAGGGAAGGGAAAAUACCUGUGUGUGUGUGUGUGUGUGUGUGUGUAUUUGUAUGGCAUAGAUUAUUUCCAAAAAGCCACACACACUAACAUUAACAUCUGUUGCCUCUGGGAAGGGGACCAGUAUAUUGGGAGGGAGAUUUCAUUGCAUUCCCUCGUGUACCUUGUGAAAGUGGUUUUGUGAAUUGAUUACCAGUAGAGGAACUAGGUUUUGUAAGGCCUAAAGCGUAUACAAUUUAAGACAUUUAAGAAAAAUAAAGCAAAAUUGGCUACAAAAGUAUUUCUUUUAGGAGUUCCCAUCGUGGCACAAUAGAAACAAAUCCAACUAGGAACCAUGAGGUUUUGGGUGCGAUUCCUG
RNAcentral lists this long non-coding RNA (2116 nucleotides) under Sus scrofa (pig). RNAcentral's name for it is "lncRNA (ENSSSCG00030058329.1)". The record is from RNAcentral. Lineage: Eukaryota; Metazoa; Chordata; Mammalia; Artiodactyla; Suidae.